AGUCUUCUCUGCAGACACCAGCCUGGUGUCCUCCUUCAUCCCAGGCUGCCAGGCUAGGCAGGGGACAGCGGCUGCCCUGGUCCUCACAGCCCUGGCUACGGGGCUGGUGACAGCCAGAUCCUCAUGCUUCUGCGACCUGAGCGCUGCCUUCAGACACCUCUCUGCUGGCGUGUUCCUGGGUCCAUGAUGGAAGAAGGAAAAGUAUUUUUAAAAGACAAUCUGAAGCUCAUACUGUGACUGCAACAUAAAAUGUGUUCACCUGAGGAGACUGCUUUCAUCGCCAGUGUGUCACAGAUGGUGGAAACCUCAGAAGGCCACAGUCCAGAGUAGGGGCUUAAUGCAAGCUGCUGGAACUGAAUAAAGCUGACUUCUCUGAGCUGGAUGGCACCCUGGACAUCAACCAGCCCUUCACCUUCACGUCACACAGGAGGGACACUGGUCCAUAGAGAGGAUGCCUGCUCUGGUCACCAGCUGGAGAGUGGCAGACCUUGGGUACCUGACCUUUGGACUCUGCCACACAGAGCACUUCCUCAGUCCCUCCUGCUGCCCCUGGCAGGGUGGAGCUGGCAGGGCAGCUGAUCCAGGACCGUCCACUUCCAAGCCAGCAGGAGGAUGGAAAAGCAGAAUGGAGGGGAAACAACCUCCUUUGCAGGGCGUGACUCGGAAGUUGGACACAUCAUUUCCAGCCACAUUCCAUGGACCAGAAUUAGCCCUGUGACCAACUCUGGCUGCCAGAAAAUCUGGGAAAUACAGUCUCUGCUUGGGCGAUCAGGCAGGCAGUUAUAUCUUUGGGAACAUCUCUCACCCCCUGGGAACACCUGAGCAGAAACUGAAGGACAUUUAACAGAUUCUCCUUUGUGUCUAAUAAGAAUUGCCCCCAUCAGUCGGGGCUGUCCUAGGUGCUGGGUACAUAGGUCAUCUAUACACAACCCAGCAAUGGAGAGCACACCAUUCCCAGGCUGCAGAUGCAGAAACUGUGGCUCGGAGAGUUAAGCGUCUUGUUCAGAUUCAGUCAGCUGGUAGAUGGCAGGUCUGGGAUUGAGACCCAGGCCUGGCUGGUCCUGCCAGGACACAGUAUCACAGCUUUGACUGGGAGCUUCUUUUUGUUUACAUAUAUUUUUUAUGCUCAAUGUGCAUUCCUUUUGAAAUACACAGAAAAGGGAAAGAAGCCGGAGUCCUGCCUUGUGUAGGAGGGAUAAGUUAGAGGUGUGCACCGGGAUAAAUCUGCCUCCCGCGCUGGCCCUGGCCCUGGCCCUGGCCCUGGCCCUGGCCCUGAUCCUGCUCCUGAUUCUGGUCCUUGGGGCCUGGGCGGCGAUUCCCGGCGCUGGCUGAGCGUCACCGGCCACCAGAGGGCGCUGCCGGGCUACCGGUCCGGUCGCCCGGGGAUCACAGCCUCAGCGGACAGGAAAUGAUCAACAGCUUCUCCUCUCGGAUCCACGUGGACUCAAGGAAUCUCCGGGGGGCAGGACAGGUGCAGAGCCGAGUGCAAAGGUGGAAUUCUAUUCCCAAAGCACAUCCCGCGCCCCUUUCCUCUGCAAAGUCCCGGAACCGCGUGACUCCGGAUGAGUUAUCGGGGCUGGAACCGAGGGUUCAGCCCCCUGCGCCUCUGUGUGUCCCGGUCCCUUUCCUCCAAGUAGACAGGAGGCAUCUCCUCAUCGGCUCAGUUCACAUUCCUCCAGGGGCUCAAAGGGGACCCAGUCCCUGUCUUGGGACACCAAGUCAGGCAGACUCCAGGAGAGAGGAAGGAAGAUGAUUCCCGCGCUCAGGUGGGCGGGUCCUGCUCCCUCUGUUGAAGACCUGAAGACAAAGAUUGACCCUCACCCUUCACCUCCCACCUCUUCCUCACCUUGGAAAAGAAAAACAUUCCUGAGAGGGGGGAUUUGUCAGCAGAAGGCUUUGGGACUAGAACUGCAGCAUCAGCUCUUCCUGGUUCCCCAGCGCCCAGGCCUACCCUGCAGAUGUGGGCUUACUGGCCUCCACGAUCAGUGAGCCGGUUCCUUAAAAUCAACCUCUCUCUCUUCCUCUGUCUCUCCCUCUCUCUCUCUCCCUGUCCACAUCCCAUUGGUUCUGUUUCUCUGGGGAAACCUGACUAAUAAGGGGACUCUCAAGGCCCUGGCUGAGGAUGGCAGGCCUGAAGAUUCUCUGAGGCAUUCAGCAUUGAAUGAGCACCAGCUGGGCGUGGAGCUGUGUCAGGCGCUGGGCACAGGACUCAGCCCCGGAACCAAGUGUGGGCCCACAUGGUGUGGGCCUUUGUCUGUCCCUGUCAUGGCUUUGGACACACGCGUGGCCCAGAGGGGACAACGGAUCUGGGUGGCGAGGUGGGAAAGCUCACCCCAGUAUUCCUCUUGGUGGCAGCAGUCCCUUAAGGGGUCGCCUGAGUCGUGAGACCCACAGGUGUGGACCUCCCCCCCCCCUUCCUCCCCUCUCCCCCAGUGACUUUAUCCAGCACCUGCCCUGCCCAGCCUUGCACAGGUUACCCUGUGACCCACUCACAGGGAGAUAGGGCAGCUUCUUUCUGCCCUCAGGAGCCUUGUUCUCAAGGCAGCUCAUCCAAGAGAAUAACAUACAGUAGAUUGCCACACACAUGACUGUGGCUUAGUCCAGGAAAGCCACUUAUAAAAUCCGGAGGUGAAGGAAGAAAAGAUUGAAAUCUCUGUAACAAAUCCAUUUCCCUCCUCCCUCCCUCCCUUCAUCUCCAAAGUAGACCUGCCCCAGGGCCAGGGAUCCUCUCCCUGCAAGGCUAGGUAACAAGCGGAUUUUUGCUUUUGAGCUUCAAGGUCCUGGCUUCUGGUGGUUUAUAGGUGAUCUUUGAGGGUGGUUUUGACGAGAGGCUUGUUAGCUUCUCUACGCUUUUGAAACGCCCACUCUCCCCACAAGAAUCUGGGACUUUGCAGAACCGGUCCAAGGUGAGAGUAGGAUUAAUUGCCAAAUGAGUUUUCUCAUAAGCCUGGGGUCCAAAGUACAUUGGACAGCCAGCAAAUGCUUAUGAGGGGUUUGAACAAGUGAAAUCAAGGCUCAAGGUCAUAGGACUCAAUGGAGAGUGAGGCAGCUGGGAUCUGGGAUGACCGGCAUGGGCCUCAAAGCAGGGGGCUUGGAAAUAGGCCCUGAAGAGGGGGUCGCUUGCGUGGCUAGGAAGGGGUUGGGGCCCACUAGCAUUUCUCAGAAUGCCUAUUUUCUUCGGCAGUGAGAGCUGGAGGGAGGGAUGGGUUUCUCAGCACAGUUCCAGUAUGAGUGGCUGUCACCACAGGGCGCCAUUGCCAAGUCAGAAAGAAACAAAGCUUAACCGCUGCCUCCUGUCCCCCAUGGUCUGUGAAAGUCUCAUACUGUAGUGCGUCUAAUGGUGGCCCCCCAAAAGAUACAUCUACAUUAUAAUUCCUGGGACCCAGAAAUGUGACCUUAUUUGGAAAAAGGGUCUUUGACCUUAUUUGGAAAAAGCGUCUUUACAAAUGUAAGUGACCUUAUUUGGAAAAAGUGUCUUUACAAAUGUAAUUUACAACAUUGAAUGAGC
RNAcentral lists this long non-coding RNA (3508 nucleotides) under Homo sapiens (human). RNAcentral's name for it is "non-protein coding SPATA3-AS1:7". The record is from RNAcentral. Lineage: Eukaryota; Metazoa; Chordata; Mammalia; Primates; Hominidae.